Molecule: ribosomal RNA, 455 nt
Filed under: uncultured bacterium
Lineage: Bacteria
Description: bacterial SSU rRNA
Rfam family: Bacterial small subunit ribosomal RNA
Source: RNAcentral
GAUGAACGCUAGCUACAGGCUUAACACAUGCAAGUCGAGGGGCAGCGCAGUGUAGCAAUACAUGGGCGGCGACCGGCGCACGGGUGCGUAACGCGUAUCCAACCUUCCCGUUACUCAGGGAUUAGCCUUCCUUGGAGUAGAUUCAAUGAUGAAAGAUUUAUCGGUUAUGGAUGGGGAUGCGUAAGAUUAGGUAGUAGGCGGGGUAACGGCCCACCUAGCCGACGAUCUUUAGGGGUUCUGAGAGGAAGGUCCCCCACACUGGUACUGAGACACGGUCCAGACUCCUACGGGAGGCAGCAGUGAGGAAUAUUGGUCAAUGGUCGGAAGACUGAACCAGCCAAGUCGCGUGAGGGAAGACGGCCCUACGGGUUGUAAACCUCUUUAGUCGGGGAGCAAAAAGGAUCACGCGUGGUCCAUUGAGCGUACCCGAAGAAUAAGCAUCGGCUAACUCCGUG